This 345-nucleotide long non-coding RNA is filed under the name Mytilus galloprovincialis (Mediterranean mussel). The record is from RNAcentral. Lineage: Eukaryota; Metazoa; Mollusca; Bivalvia; Mytilida; Mytilidae.
AUUUUUCCAUGUUGAGCUACACAACAGGAUGAUUGUUGUUGGCAUCUUGUUAUGACAAAGAAAUCUCAGAACAGUACUGUGACAACAGGUCAUCUAUGAACAACAUAAUGCUGUCACAUGGAGCGAGGUUAUCACCUGGUCAGUGGUCACUUGGACAGUAGGUCCCACUCCAUGUGCAUGUUCAGUUAACAGCAUAAUCUAUGAAUAAACUGCCUUGCCCAGCUGGAUACGACUGCAGAGGUCCAACCAUGAACAGUUGGGGCAAAAAUGGACACAAUAUUCGAGCUAGAUACAGGUCUGAAUUUGGAUUGUAAUUAUAUAUUUGACACAUAAUGGGUUUCUGAC